RNAcentral lists this ribosomal RNA (465 nucleotides) under uncultured Klebsiella sp. RNAcentral describes it as "bacterial SSU rRNA". It matches the Rfam family "Bacterial small subunit ribosomal RNA", at positions 338 to 795 of the family's 1533-position model. Lineage: Bacteria; Pseudomonadati; Pseudomonadota; Gammaproteobacteria; Enterobacterales; Enterobacteriaceae. The record is from RNAcentral.
CCUACGGGCGGCUGCAGUGGGGAAUAUUGCACAAUGGGCGCAAGCCUGAUGCAGCCAUGCCGCGUGUGUGAAGAAGGCCUUCGGGUUGUAAAGCACUUUCAGCGGGGAGGAAGGCGGUGAGGUUAAUAACCUCAUCGAUUGACGUUACCCGCAGAAGAAGCACCGGCUAACUCCGUGCCAGCAGCCGCGGUAAUACGGAGGGUGCAAGCGUUAAUCGGAAUCACUGGGCGUAAAGCGCACGCAGGCGGUCUGUCAAGUCGGAUGUGAAAUCCCCGGGCUCAACCUGGGAACUGCAUUCGAAACUGGCAGGCUAGAGUCUUGUAGAGGGGGGUAGAAUUCCAGGUGUAGCGGUGAAAUGCGUAGAGAUCUGGAGGAAUACCGGUGGCGAAGGCGGCCCCCUGGACAAAGACUGACGCUCAGGUGCGAAAGCGUGGGGAGCAAACAGGAUUAGAUACCCGUGUAGUC